Molecule: long non-coding RNA, 296 nt
Filed under: Mytilus galloprovincialis (Mediterranean mussel)
Lineage: Eukaryota; Metazoa; Mollusca; Bivalvia; Mytilida; Mytilidae
Source: RNAcentral
AAGUAUUUGUAUUUCUGUUAGGGAAGAAGACAUUUGUAUUUGCUUUGAUAUUUUCUUGGGUUAAACAGUGCAACAUUGUAAUAUUAAAAGUGGGGGAGGGGUCGGUUUUUAGUUUUCUAGGGGACAUUUUUUUCGUCUGACAACUCUAUAUUUAGAAUACUUUGUAGUGUUACCUCCUCCGACCUGGUGGUAUCAAUAAUCAUAUUCUAACCUAUCGUACGUCCCGAAAUCCUAAAUAUAUCUCAAGAAAAAUCCAAUUUAAUAAGUGUCGUAGCAUGCACGAUUAUUGUCCGAAG